AUGAAGAAGGCGGAACGGAUCAGAUGUCCAGCUCCAUUGCCCGAAAACCCAGCAGAUCCUCUUCUAAUGAGGAUGCUGGUCCCGACGCCCUAUCAAGCGCCGGAGAAAAAGGUCCAGAAGAAGAACAAAGGAUCCAAGGAUGGCCUCCGCCGCAAAGGUACUUCGGACGCGGUGUCCGAAGAGACCGACACUCACUCCUCCGAGGAGGAUGAAGAGGAGGAGGACGCAGAAAGCAAUCCUUCCCCGAAGGGGAGGAAGAAGAAGAGGGCGGCCUCCGAAGACCCAGGGGCGGAGGCAUCCAAAAGGGGAAAAAUAUCCCUCCCAGACGGCUCAGGCCAAAGCCAUCCCCGAGUGGCGCCCCAGGUCGAAGCCCCUCGCCGAAUCGUAAGUAUCCAAGGAUGCCUUACAUAA
RNAcentral lists this ribosomal RNA (411 nucleotides) under Triticum aestivum (bread wheat). Its description in RNAcentral is "partial small subunit ribosomal RNA". The record is from RNAcentral. Lineage: Eukaryota; Viridiplantae; Streptophyta; Magnoliopsida; Poales; Poaceae.